RNAcentral lists this transfer RNA (70 nucleotides) under Gymnopis multiplicata. RNAcentral's name for it is "tRNA-Ala". It matches the Rfam family "tRNA". From Rfam's summary of the family: Transfer RNA (tRNA) molecules are approximately 80 nucleotides in length. Their secondary structure includes four short double-helical elements and three loops (D, anti-codon, and T loops). The record is from RNAcentral. Lineage: Eukaryota; Metazoa; Chordata; Amphibia; Gymnophiona; Dermophiidae.
AAGGCCUUAGCUUAAAUUAAAGUGUCUGGGUUGCAUUCAGAAGAUGUUGAUUGAUGUUCUGCAGGUCUUA